AGCUAUCAUUAUCCUAAGACAUUUGGGGGCCAACCAAAGCCGAUAUCCGGGGUUAAUUCGCUAGUUGCUUCGCUGCACGGCGGGAGAGCUUAUGUGAUCGGCAACCGGUAUCCUCCAGCUGAGGGGCGUAUGGUGCAGUGUGGGCCGGCGUUCCGCGUCGCGAAUCCCUACGUCUGCCCCGGAUCGUCCCUUGGGAAACCCAGCGGGGGCAAUUGGAUGGCCCGUGGAAAUCUUUCGGUGGCUUCGGUCUCGGGGCUUUCCGGGCUGAGCGUCGGGCUUCGGCUCGGCCUCCGACCUUGUAAAUAUCCUGAUCAUCCCUUUGGGGGUGGGGUGUGACUAGGCGUGAACGCUCCUCGAGGGCGUGCGACCGAACUCUUAAGAUAGU
RNAcentral lists this unclassified non-coding RNA (385 nucleotides) under Cetrelia sanguinea. RNAcentral describes it as "partial 28S-18S ribosomal RNA intergenic spacer". Lineage: Eukaryota; Fungi; Ascomycota; Lecanoromycetes; Lecanorales; Parmeliaceae. The record is from RNAcentral.